Anas platyrhynchos (mallard) is the source of this 1178-nucleotide non-coding RNA. The record is from RefSeq and is a predicted model, not a curated record. Lineage: Eukaryota; Metazoa; Chordata; Aves; Anseriformes; Anatidae.
UGUUUUGAAAGGAUAGUAUUGUAAAUGGGGUCCCUUUUGUGUUGUUGAGGGAUGGGUGCUAAUGCUGGCAGCUGAAUGAUUGAUUCUCUUGUGACUGUUUUCAUUUGUUAAAGCUGAAACACAGUGUACGACACGGGACUUGACGACCAGACCUGCUUUUGGCAAGGUGCCAUGGCAGGCUCUCCGCAGAAGCGGUUGAGGAUUGGAGAAGAGGUUGCAGAUGAUCAAGGAGCGACACGUGCAGGGAUGGCUUGAAAACGGUGAUUAGCUUCAGGUUCCAGGUGGGACCUAGUGGUGACUGAGUUGCAGGUAUUCCAUGACAGAGCUCAUUCUGCCUGGGCUGCUUUUUGGGCCUUGGAGAGAUGAAGUCCCCAUGGUGUGGAGUGGUGCAAAAAGAGGAAUGGUCCAGCAAUUCGGGUUAAUAGGGGACAAGAGAACAAAGGGGUUUCAGAAUAACUGCUAACUGUUAUGACUACUGCAUGGGGCACUAUGCAAGUCUCUGACAUCCAGCCAAGAUGGACAAAGGAGAAGGACAAGGGAAAAGCCUGGGAGGAAGACUGUGAGCCUUCGGUACGAGAGACCCGCAGAGGGACCUACCAGAGACUGAUAACACAUGCGCCGGUGGGCGGGUUCGGAUUCCAGGAACUAGUUAUAAUAACCCUGCCUUUUCUAGAAGUAGUAAUGAAUAUGUAUUAGCCUAGGAGCAUAAAAACCAGCCGCCUGCUGUGACUUGUGUGCGUCUCGGUGGAGCAGAGACUCCCGGCGCACCCAGUGCUGUUUGCUUACCUCUAUUCAUUUAAUAAAUUAUAAACUUUGAUUGUAAUCCUAUUUGGGACUUAGUCAUUUAUUACAACAGACAACCUUGUAAAAUGCAGACAACCAGAAUCCUUACAACAAUUAAGUGGCAAUCACGGUGUAAGAAACAUUACCACCUCAAAGAGUAAAAGCCUCAAAAGAAAUGUGACUUGUAACAGGCCAGCAGCUGUGUGUUUUCGGUGAAGCACCAGGUAGAGUAUGAACCUGGAUUGCACAGUUAAUGGGGAAACGGGAGGGUCCUGGUCCUUGGGAGGGGAAAAAAAAAAAAAGGUAUAUAAACUGUGUAUGGAAUCGGUAGGUGCCCUCCUGCUCGCGGGACACCCGCCAUUGUAAUCUCAAAUAAAAAUGCUACUGUACUGAGA